This 445-nucleotide ribosomal RNA is filed under the name uncultured bacterium. RNAcentral describes it as "partial 16S ribosomal RNA". It matches the Rfam family "Bacterial small subunit ribosomal RNA", at positions 330 to 792 of the family's 1533-position model. The record is from RNAcentral.
UCCAGACUCCUACGGGAGGCAGCAGUGGGGAAUAUUGCACAAUGGGGGAAACCCUGAUGCAGCGACGCCGCGUGAGUGAAGAAGUAUUUCGGUAUGUAAAGCUCUAUCAGCAGGGAAGAAAAUGACGGUACCUGACUAAGAAGCCCCGGCUAACUACGUGCCAGCAGCCGCGGUAAUACGUAGGGGGCAAGCGUUAUCCGGAUUUACUGGGUGUAAAGGGAGCGUAGACGGCAUGGCAAGUCAGAUGUGAAAGCCCGGGGCUCAACCCCGGGACUGCAUUUGAAACUGUCAGGCUGGAGUGCAGGAGAGGUAAGUGGAAUUCCUAGUGUAGCGGUGAAAUGCGUAGAUAUUAGGAGGAACACCGGUGGCGAAGGCGGCCUGCUGGACUGUAACUGACGUUGAGGCUCGAAAGCGUGGGGAGCAAACAGGAUUAGAUACCCCGGUA